AAGUCGUAACAAGGUUUCCGUAGGUGAACCUGCGGAAGGAUCAUUACCUUUCAAUGCAGAAGAGUUGAGAUGGUUGAGUAUCUCGCCUCUCAAUUCUCGCUGUAUUUUACCCUUGUUUUUCUCAUACUAUUAUUUCCUCGGCAGGCUCGCCUGCCGGGUGAAACAACUUCAAACCUGUUUAAUUUUCAAUCAGCGUCUGAACAAAUUAAUAAUUACAACUUUCAACAACAGAUCUCUUGGUUCUG
RNAcentral lists this unclassified non-coding RNA (245 nucleotides) under Leptosphaeria sp. RNAcentral's name for it is "partial internal transcribed spacer region". The stretch from base 1 to 46 matches the Rfam family "Eukaryotic small subunit ribosomal RNA", at positions 1786 to 1831 of the family's 1831-position model. The record is from RNAcentral. Lineage: Eukaryota; Fungi; Ascomycota; Dothideomycetes; Pleosporales; Leptosphaeriaceae.